This 450-nucleotide ribosomal RNA is filed under the name uncultured bacterium. Its description in RNAcentral is "partial 16S ribosomal RNA". It matches the Rfam family "Bacterial small subunit ribosomal RNA", at positions 354 to 796 of the family's 1533-position model. The record is from RNAcentral.
GUGGGGAAUCUUCCGCAAUGGACGAAAGUCUGACGGAGCAACGCCGCGUGAGUGAAGAAGGUUUUCGAAUCGUAAAGCUCUGUUGUCAGGGACGAGCAGGGGGAGUAUCAACAACACUUCCUCAUGACGGUACCUGACGAGGAAGCCACGGCUAACUACGUGCCAGCAGCCGCGGUAAUACGUAGGUGGCGAGCGUUGUCCGGAAUUAUUGGGCGUAAAGGGAGCGCAGGUGGGAAAGUAAGUCUGCUUUAAAAGUGCGGGGCUCAACCCCGUGAGGGAGUGGAAACUAUUUUUCUUGAGUGUAGGAGAGGAAAGCGGAAUUCCUAGUGUAGCGGUGAAAUGCGUAGAUAUUAGGAGGAACACCAGUGGCGAAGGCGGCUUUCUGGACUGUAACUGACACUGAGGCGCGAAAGCCAGGGGAGCGAACGGGAUUAGAUACCCGGGUAGUCC